CGCCUCGGCUCUCUGACGUCUACGCCUGUCACUUCCAGCUUGAAGGCACACCUGAGAAAGAGACGGAAACCAGAGCGACCCAAUAAAGAGGCGGACCCAGGAGUAGACGGUGAAACCAAGACGAAUGGGAAAAAGCCGCUCACCUAAGCCCCCAAACAGGGCCCUUUGUCCGGUGACGCUGCCAGUACCCGGAGCGCUAGAGGCCCCGUGGGUCCGCACUGCAGCGACGGGACUCCCGGAAACCCAUUGCGACCAUCCUCGGUUGUGCCGAGCCUCCCGCCAGCCCGGCCCAGCGGGUAGGAGACGCAGCAACGUGCCCCUGAAACCCACACACGGUGGGCGCGCGGAGAUGCCGGAACCUGCGCGGGCGCCAGCGAUUCUCACGCCAGUAGGCCUUCUGAUUCGGCUCAAGACGCGAGGCACGGGAUUCUCGGAGCGCGAGCGAAGUGCGCGACAACAGGGCGAGGCUCCAGCCGCUGUCUGCUUCACCGUCUGGUCCGGUUUGACCCGCUAGUCGCGAACAGCCGCUUGAAGUUCCCGACCAACGCGUCCCCUUCCGCUUACUCCGGCCGCAGAGUUGGAGCCAUUUUAAGGCGAAACCCCCAGCCACGCCCCUUCGGGCUCCGGAGAAGCCAAUCCAGGCUCAGCCACGCCCCGUGCGACUCGCGGCCGCGACGC
Odocoileus virginianus texanus is the source of this 678-nucleotide non-coding RNA. The record is from RefSeq and is a predicted model, not a curated record. Lineage: Eukaryota; Metazoa; Chordata; Mammalia; Artiodactyla; Cervidae.